CUCGGUAUUGGUGAAUAAUUGGAUUUGUUGUUGUGAAGACUUGGGCAAUUGCACCCCUGAUGUGUUACUGUACUGUUAUUUAGUGAUGAAUUGUUUAUCCCUAAAGCUGUUGAUGUACUGUCUCUUACGGUAUCCCAAACCUAUAGCUAAUUGGGGCUGCCUCAAGUUCUUACAUCUGCACAGUAGAUGAUGUUGUACCAUUGCAAAAAUUAAAUAGGCAUCUGUCUAUUAGUCCUUUGUUUUACCCCCUUGAUUUAAAUUUUCCAGGUUUUAAUACUAGAUUAGCUGAACGAAUAAGAUCAGGUGGGCCAGAGAUGAACAGUAAAAAAUUCAGGAAGGAAUAAUUUUAUUUUUCUUUUGUUAUCACAUGUGUGUCAGCGGGUCCUUUUUUAGUGACCUGCAAAUGAUGCUAAAAUCAGUGGUAAUUUUGCAUGUGGUUGAUAUUUCCAGGUGUAGUCAUUUAAAUGAGGAAAUCAGUUUUAAUGAACUUGAUGAGAAGAUGAGUUCAUCACUGCCAGCCUUCUCUUAUAUUUUCAGCAGGGGAUAAAUUUUAAUAGAUGUGAGAAUAGAAGUGCUUUGCAGAGAACUCUCAGCAUCACUUAGCCAGGUCUUGAUGUAAGAAGCCACAGGUGUCUCAUUGCUGAUCAAGUUGUAGAUUUAUUAUUUGGAUUUUUGGUUGUGUUUUCUUUUUUGCUGACAUAUUUUGUAUUGACAAGUCUCUGCUUGCGUUCAAGCCACAUCAUAAUUGCUUCUGACCACAGUGAAAAAAAGAGUUCAAUGGCCUUCCUGCUCACCAUGGUGCUACUUUUCAGAAUGCUUCUAUUGAGAGUUAGCAUUUUCAUCACCAGUGAUUACAGACCUUCACAGAGCUCUGGUAACGAGAAUUCCUUCAUCAGACAGACAGCUCUGCAGUGUUUCUGUCUCAUGUGACUCCAGUGAAGGAGACCAGAGCUCUGCAGGUCACACCAG
Hirundo rustica (Barn swallow) is the source of this 969-nucleotide long non-coding RNA. RefSeq lists it as uncharacterized. Lineage: Eukaryota; Metazoa; Chordata; Aves; Passeriformes; Hirundinidae. The record is from RefSeq and is a predicted model, not a curated record. The transcript has 3 exons.